RNAcentral lists this long non-coding RNA (1163 nucleotides) under Lactuca sativa (garden lettuce). RNAcentral describes it as "long non-coding RNA (LSAT_LNC003939)". Lineage: Eukaryota; Viridiplantae; Streptophyta; Magnoliopsida; Asterales; Asteraceae. The record is from RNAcentral.
UUGGAGACGGGAAUGUGUUCAUCGGAGGAGAUGAACACAUUUGGGUAAAUGGCUCCAGCCAAACCACCACCAAUGAGGGGUCCGACCCAGUACACCCAGUGUCCAGAAAAGUCAAAGCUGGCUACAGCAGGUCCAAAAGAUCUAGCUGGGUUCAUUGAUCCACCAGAGAAUGGACCUGCUGCCAAAAUGUUGGCGCCAACAAUGAACCCGAUUGCCAUUGGGGCAAUUGUGCCAACUGACCCCUUCUUUGGGUCACAUGCGGUGGCGUACACUGUGUACACCAACGCAAAUGUGAUAACAAUUUCGAAAACUACUCCUUGAAUUGCUCCUAAGCUUCCAACAUUGUGUGUAGGAACAGCCUGAAAAAAAAAAUAUAAAACAUAAAUAUUAUUUGAAAAAACCACUUAACCUAACAUAAUAAGUAUUUGUAACUUUAUAAAUCUUUUUAUAUAAAAGUCUUCUAAUAUUACUUUAAUGGUUAUAAAAUUAUAGUAAUAAAUUAAUCGUUUAUAAAAGAAACAAAAAAAAUUAAAAAUAAUACUCCUCAUAUUAUCCAAGUUGUUUCACCUGCUCAUUUUGCUUACGUAUAGUACAAAUCGUAAAGAAAAGUCUACAAUGCUUACCAGGCCUCCGGUGACGAAGCUGAGAAAGAUGCAUGCGACGGUGGAGCCAAGAAGUUGAGCGAUCCAGUAAAACACGCCGGUAAGGACGGUGAUCUGGCCGCCGACGGCCAAACCGAAGGUGACAGCUGGGUUGACGUGGCCGCCGGAGAUGUUGGCAGCGAUUGAUACGGCAACAAACAGAGCAAAUCCAUGGCAAACAGCGAUGGCUACAAGACCAGCUGGAUCUAGGGCAGCAUCUGCUGUUAAUUUGCCUGUAUUAAAUUAACAAAAAAAGGAAUUGGGUUAUGGAGAUAUAUCAUGAUAGAUCGGUUAGUAAUGGUUAUGGGGAGUUCUGAACUUACCAUAAGCGAUGGCAGAACCUACUCCGGCGAAGACGAAGAGCAAGGUGGAGAUGAACUCUGCAAUGUAGGCUUUGAUAGAGCUGCCACUGAAGGAGUCACCCAAACUACCAAUGGCGAUUCCAGGCAUUUUGUGUAGAGUAUUGUAUUAAUGGAUAAGGAAUAGCUGAAUUUGGAAAGGAGAUGGAAAUAGAAAGAGAGG